This 2443-nucleotide ribosomal RNA is filed under the name Triticum aestivum (bread wheat). Its description in RNAcentral is "partial small subunit ribosomal RNA". The record is from RNAcentral. Lineage: Eukaryota; Viridiplantae; Streptophyta; Magnoliopsida; Poales; Poaceae.
AGAAAAUGCGUACUGUGCCGAAAUACGUACACCGCAGCAGUGGGUGGUGGGCCAUGUUGACGGAGUAGAACAGAAAAUUUUAACGCGAAGGUGGACGGCAUCCACUGUCGGCGAGGUGGGCUGCGGAUCGGAAUUCGGCGCACCCGUCUGAUCCGUGGCUCAGAUGGGGAGCGCCCCCCAGUGCGAGCGUCAUGGAGAGCCGGCGGCGAGGGAGCAUCAAGUUUUUGAUGCAGCCAGCCGACAGAUCCACUUUUAUUGAGGAAGUAGGGGAGAGCUUGGUGCCGCCCCCUGUGGUAUACGGGCGGAGCUGGAGGUGACACGGUAGCAUCUGACCGUGGCCAGCGGCGAAGCACAGAUCGUCGCUGUGAUGGCCAGAUGGGAGAGCUCUCCUCCGACCUUGGAGUUGUCAGUGGGCAAGAUGAGUCCGCAAGCGCCCGUAUGGAAUAAGCGGCCGAGGAUUGGUGCUGCAGCACCCAGGAGGCGCCGUGAUCAAAUCGUAUUAGUGCCUUGGGAAAGCUUGUCAGGUGUUCUGCAGAAAUCCCAGCUGAAAAUGUAAUCACUGAACUACAUUCGACUCGCUGGGUGAGGCGAACAAUUUGUACAAUCUAUAAUUCCUGGGAGAAGGGCUUUGGCUUCAGAUAGUGGAAGAGCCGUGCAGGAAAUAGCGUGCGGGUGCUCAAACCACCGUGCUAGAGGAGGUUAACGACAUCGACGUUCCAAUGGAGCCGCUCCACUACCCAGUGGUCGCAACCGUUGCAGAUCAGCUGCCACCCAUGGCAGGAGUGAGUGUGGAUGGCUGGAUGCGAAGGGUGAGGACAAACAGGAGUGAACGUCAGUAACUUAGUUUGCUGAUUCUGAGAGCUCAAGAUUUUGAAGAUCAUUAUGUUAUGAGAGCUCAAUAUAUUGAUAUCCGAAACAAAUACCCACGAUGCAGAAGAGAUGUAUUUCCAUGCUGGAGAUGGAGAGCAUUGGUCAGAGCGUAGAAUCUACUGCUACAGUUGCGCUGGAAGAUGAUGCCAAUAGCAGUUUCACGGGAUGCAAAGGAGUUGGUUUCCGGCAGUAUAGAUAGUUACAGUACACCAAGGAAGAGAAGUAGCAUGCCAAUCCAUAUUUACACAGCCUAAGGGGAGUGAUGGUAAUACCAGUAUGGAAGCGUUUUACUUGUGCAUGGAAAGGAUGGAGGGAGGAGAAAACUGUAUUGAACGAUCAUGUGAAGAAGUCGAGGAAGAAAGUAAAGCUAACUAGUUGUGGUUGUGAGGCCAUGAUUAGCUUGAGGAGAAGAGAUGAUGGAAAUUAUGAGGUCCUCCGAUUCGUCUGUCAGCACACGCAUCAACUUGUCUCUACGAAUAAGAAACAAUUCACUAGAACUAACAGGGAAGUCAGUAGUGAAUUGAGGAGCACAUUCUUGACAUGUCACAGCAUUGAUGAGCCCUUGCCAAAAAAAUUGGCGUACACUAAUUGGGACCAGGAGAGGUACCCAGAGAAAUUGGUGUCAGACAGAGGUGGGAACUUGAGCCCCCAAUCAUCCUUGCUCAUUGGUCAACCAUCAUAAUAUUCAUUGAAGCAUUUGAACAAAGCAGUCUGGUGCUUCCGUGCAAUGGCCAUAUCCCGCGCCUUGCCAUGGUGCUGGAAUGCAUUUGUGCUGUACCAAAGGGUCGAAAAAAUUGAUCGCUUUCGUUACCAUGCCCCAUACAAUGAUUACCCAGCCUUCUGGGCAUGGUACUGGGAUGAAGAACUGUUGUCCAAACAAAACCAUAACUGGUUAAUGCAGGUCAAAGGGAUGAAUCUGGGGCCUGUGUCAUCCAUAUAGCCCGACACUUUGACGGGGGCAAGUUGAAGUUGCUGCUCGCGAAGCAUAAUGUCUCCAAAACCAAGAUGGAUACACUGCACGAGUGCAUGAAGCUCCAUGGGAAUUCUCCACAGUCUCCCAUGAUGCACUAUCUAGUCUUGGCACCAUCCGAUUCUGCAUACGACGCUUAGCAAGCCAGAUUAUGCCUGAACCACCGUAUCACUAGCCACUGCGAUUCCCAUAAUAUCUAGUUUGUUAGUUUGCAUUAUGUACCUUCAACCUUGUCACUGUUAUGUACCCUCAACCUUGUCAAUCUUAAGUUAUUUCCAUGGAUGUCUGUCUUGCUCGACCCCACCUGCUUUCAUAAUUUCAUCAUCCUAGUACUCCUUUCGAGGGGUCCAGUUUUGAUCCAUCUUCAGUGAUAUGCCUCCGAAUCAAAAGAGGACAUCAGCAAGUACAUCAUGUACUAAACGUCAUGGCCAACAGCUGAAAGAUGUAUCUCACCCAAAUUGACAAUACAUUUUCUGCACUGAUGCACAACAAAGAAUCGAAAUCAAGAAAGAAUUUGUUGCAGCUGGCGGGGACUGAGAUCUUUACUGAUGUGGACUUAAAAAAUCUGGGCAGUACCUGAUCAGGGUGGGAAGAAGAAAAAUG